RNAcentral lists this transfer RNA (75 nucleotides) under Ramlibacter sp. RNAcentral describes it as "tRNA-His". It matches the Rfam family "tRNA". From Rfam's summary of the family: Transfer RNA (tRNA) molecules are approximately 80 nucleotides in length. Their secondary structure includes four short double-helical elements and three loops (D, anti-codon, and T loops). Further hydrogen bonds mediate the characteristic L-shaped molecular structure. tRNAs have two regions of fundamental functional importance: the anti-codon, which is responsible for specific mRNA codon recognition, and the 3' end, to which the tRNAs corresponding amino acid is attached (by aminoacyl-tRNA synthetases). tRNAs cope with the degeneracy of the genetic code in two manners: having more than one tRNA (with a specific anti-codon) for a particular amino acid; and 'wobble' base-pairing, i.e. permitting non-standard base-pairing at the 3rd anti-codon position. The record is from RNAcentral. Lineage: Bacteria; Pseudomonadati; Pseudomonadota; Betaproteobacteria; Burkholderiales; Comamonadaceae.
GUGGCCAUGGCGCAGCGGCGGCGCACCGGGUUGUGACCCCGGGGGUCGCGGGUUCGAAUCCCGCUGGCCACCCCA